Molecule: long non-coding RNA, 337 nt
Filed under: Homo sapiens (human)
Lineage: Eukaryota; Metazoa; Chordata; Mammalia; Primates; Hominidae
Description: HSALNT0002861
Source: RNAcentral
AAAACUGAGACACAAACCUAUGUGUCCAAAGUGGCACAGGUAGGGAGUGUGAAGCCCCCAGGACAGCAGAAGGCCUUUCCACCCUGUCCAACCCACCUGUACCCCGGGCCCUGAGGCCAGUUCUUCCCAGAGAAAUAAGCUUCUUUCAGUCUUUUUCUCACUGACCACAAAGACUCAGCUCUGUCCUCGGAAAUAUUUGGAAAGUUUUAUUUAAAUGUUUUGUGUUCCCUUUUAACCACCACCAAAAAGAGAAAAAAAAAUUUUUUUUUGCCGUUCCAAACAGGAGAGUCGCUUCAGAGAGGAGCUGGCGUGUAAGUGGGUUUGGCCCUUGGGGAAG